RNAcentral lists this long non-coding RNA (234 nucleotides) under Mustela putorius furo (domestic ferret). RNAcentral describes it as "lncRNA (ENSMPUG00000030109.1)". Lineage: Eukaryota; Metazoa; Chordata; Mammalia; Carnivora; Mustelidae. The record is from RNAcentral.
AUGGGCAAGCUGCCACUCAGAGAGGCAAAGAGGUUCAGCCAAGUUCACAUGGGUAUUAGCAGCAGGAACUGGAGCUCUGUUGUCCCACCGCACUUUCUCUUCAGGACAGUCGGAGACCCUUGGCAGAGAAUGACGACUGGACCACUUCCCGUUUCCCAGGCCCUUCACAGGAUGAAGAUUUUUGUGAGGAUCAAGUGGCAUAAACAUACAGGCUCCAGAAAAGCCAGAUUGUAA